This 471-nucleotide ribosomal RNA is filed under the name uncultured bacterium. RNAcentral describes it as "bacterial SSU rRNA". It matches the Rfam family "Bacterial small subunit ribosomal RNA", at positions 55 to 518 of the family's 1533-position model. The record is from RNAcentral.
AUGCAAGUCGAACGAGGGUGCUUGCACCCUAGUGGCGAACGGGUGAGUAACACGUAGGUAACCUGCCCUUAAGCUUGGGAUACCCAGAGGAAACUUUGGCUAAUACCGGAUAACAACAGAAGAGGCAUCUCGUUCAGUUUGAAAGGCCCUUUACGGGGUCACUUGAGGAUGGACCUGCGGCGCAUUAGCUAGUUGGUGAGAUAACAGCCCACCAAGGCGAGGAUGCGUAGCCGACCUGAGAGGGUGAUCGGCCACAUUGGAACUGAGACACGGUCCAAACGUCCUACGGGAGGCAGCAGUAAGAGUUUUCGGCAAUGGGGGAAACCCUGACCGAGCAACGCCGCGUGAGUGAUCGACGGCCCUAUGGGUUGUAAAGCUCUGUUGUAAGGGACGAAUGAUUCGCUUAGGAAAUGAAGCGGAUUUGACGGUACCUUACCAGAAAGCCACGGCUAACUACGUGCCAGCAGCGGC